AGUAAUGCUUGGGAAUCUAGCUUAUGGAGGGGGAUAACUACGGGAAACUGUAGCUAAUACCGCGUAGAAUCGGGAGAUGAAAGUGUGGGACCUUCGGGCCACAUGCCAUAGGACGAGCCCAAGUGGGAUUAGGUAGUUGGUGAGGUAAAGGCUCACCAAGCCGACGAUCUCUAGCUGGUCUGAGAGGAUGACCAGCCACACUGGGACUGAGACACGGCCCAG
Molecule: ribosomal RNA, 222 nt
Filed under: uncultured bacterium
Lineage: Bacteria
Description: partial 16S ribosomal RNA
Rfam family: Bacterial small subunit ribosomal RNA
Source: RNAcentral